GGUCAAGCUACAAAGGGCUCAUGGCGGAUACCUUGGCACACAGAGGCGAUGAAGGACGUGGUUACCUGCGAUAUGUCUCGGGGAGCUGGAUACACGCUUUGAUCCGGGAAUUUCCGAAUGGGGCAACCCUUAGAACGGCCAGCUGAAUACAUAGGCUGGCACGAGCCA
This 168-nucleotide ribosomal RNA is filed under the name uncultured cyanobacterium. Its description in RNAcentral is "partial 23S ribosomal RNA". It matches the Rfam family "Bacterial large subunit ribosomal RNA", at positions 1 to 182 of the family's 2925-position model. Lineage: Bacteria; Bacillati; Cyanobacteriota. The record is from RNAcentral.